CCGAGUUAUUCAACUCAUCAACCCUGUGACAUACCUAAACGUUGCUUCGGCGGGAAUAGACGGCCCCGUGAAACGGGCCGCCCCCGCCAGAGGACCCUUAACUCUGUUUCUAUAAUGUUUCUUCUGAGUAAAACAAGCAAAUAAAUUAAAACUUUCAACAACGGAUCUCUUGGCUCUGGCAUCGAUGAAGAACGCAGCGAAAUGCGAUAAGUAAUGUGAAUUGCAGAAUUCAGUGAAUCAUCGAAUCUUUGAACGCACAUUGCGCCCGCCAGUAUUCUGGCGGGCAUGCCUGUUCGAGCGUCAUUACAACCCUCAGGCCCCCGGGCCUGGCGUUGGGGAUCGGCGGAGCCUCUCUGUGGGCACACGCCGUCCCCCAAAUACAGUGGCGGUCCCGCCGCAGCUUCCAUCGCGUAGUAGCUAACACCUCGCGACUGGAGAGCGGCGCGGCCACGCCGUAAAACACCCAACUCUUCUGAAGUUGACCUCGAAUCAGGUAGGAAUACCCGCUGAACUUAAGCAUAUC
Molecule: ribosomal RNA, 523 nt
Filed under: Fusarium lateritium
Lineage: Eukaryota; Fungi; Ascomycota; Sordariomycetes; Hypocreales; Nectriaceae
Description: eukaryotic LSU rRNA
Rfam family: 5.8S ribosomal RNA (bases 150-303)
Source: RNAcentral